CUUUUUCUCUUUCAGAUAUCAAACGCUCCUAUGUCAUAUUCGUCUGUUUAAGUGCCUUCACCCAGUUCAUAUCUAAAAUUGUAUUCUUCUGCGCCGUUCCGUCAUGUUGCCACGUCAAGAAAAAAGUUGUUUUGUUCUUUGUUUUGUCCGUUUUUGAAUUAAUGGCAGCUUUCUUGGGAAUUAUUGGCUGCAUCUGCUUCAUCGCCCUGGAAGAUCUGGGAAAUUACCAUACGUCAGAGGACAACGCGGAAUAUCAGUGGUCAUUCAUGCUGGCAUGGAUAUCCAUUGGUCUGUGUUUCGUCGAGUCGUCCAUCUUGGUGAUCCUCGUCAAAGUCUGUUACGAUGAAGUAUUUCAUAGCGACAAGUUCGACUACUAUACAAUGUGAGUGAUAAACGUUACAUUGCGAAGCAAAGGCGAUAGCACCGCAAAAACACCAGCGGCACAUUGGCACUGUAACACACUAUGGCACUCCGGGCACUUCAAAAUAAUAUUAUAUCAAAAUUUUUUUAUGGUUAUUGUAUUUAAUUAUGCUAUGUAAAUGAUGUUGGCGGUCAGAAAGGAAUCAAUAAAAAAGGACUGUAAAAGUAAAAACCAUGACUGCCCCCACCCCAAACUAACAAAACACUAUUGUUAACUAACUAACUUACUAAAAGCAGAAACGAUCACCAACCACAAACCUUCAGGCACCAACACAACCGUUCCACUUCUCCAUGACGUCUCCCACCACCACCACCACCACAAUAAAGAACAACAGCAUUACCUUCACCACCACCAUUACAUAAAAGAACUACAAUAAAGUAAAACCACUGUCACAGUUGACUUUUUCAUCAGUACCAAUGAACCAUUGACAAAUUCUCAUCACUGCAAAAAUUCUCUCUUUCGUCUGUCACUUUUACACAGCACACACGCGCGCGCACACACAGACACGGACAUAGACAGACACACACACAAACAUACACACAUACACAUGAGUAUCAUUAUACAAUGUUCAAAAUUGCUCAAUGAAGACAAAAAAAUUUAAGCAAAACUUUCGUUCCUA
Molecule: long non-coding RNA, 1040 nt
Organism: Octopus sinensis (East Asian common octopus)
Lineage: Eukaryota; Metazoa; Mollusca; Cephalopoda; Octopoda; Octopodidae
Exons: 2
Source: RefSeq, a predicted model, not a curated record